Long non-coding RNA from Acanthochromis polyacanthus (spiny chromis), 525 nucleotides. RefSeq lists it as uncharacterized. NCBI's taxonomy places the organism in Eukaryota, Metazoa, Chordata, Actinopteri, Pomacentridae. The transcript has 3 exons. The record is from RefSeq and is a predicted model, not a curated record.
CCUCAACUCUGAGUUGAUCUACUCAGAGAUAGAAAACUCUGAGUUUUCGGUUUCACAACGGCUGAUUUGAGUUGGGUUAAUCAACUCGGAGUAGUUUGACCCGGAGUUACGCGCGUGCACCGCAAGUCUGAAAAGACAGCAUCAAUGGAACCCCGAUUCGACGAGUCACCAUGGAAACGGGGAAGUGAAAGGCUGCGUUUUUGAACUGGAAGUUUUUAACGCGCUCAUAUGGCGAGUUUGAACACGUUUUUAGAAAGAAGUGCAACACCGCUGCAGCUGCAAAAGAGAGAGAGACGGCAUGGAGAACAGCCCGGAUCAAUGCGAUGAAGAGGAUGAAACUGUGUCUGCUGCCUUUACAGAGGGGGAUCCAGAAAGGCAUACAGAGAGCAUGGCUGGACAGCAGCAGAAUGGUCCCUCAUCUUCCACUGCACAGACUGACACAGUGAGAUGGAUGUUCAGGAAACACCAGAGCUUCAUUCUGUGGAAUUCAUGUGCAACUGUAUAAUUGAAUGUCCUCUAUGUAUU